Molecule: non-coding RNA, 476 nt
Organism: Phascolarctos cinereus (koala)
Lineage: Eukaryota; Metazoa; Chordata; Mammalia; Diprotodontia; Phascolarctidae
Source: RefSeq, a predicted model, not a curated record
GAAGACUGCACACUAGCCAUUGUGAGCUGCUAUUGUUACUUCAGAACCUUAGGUCACAGAAGAGGCACAUCUAGUCUAUUCCUGCAUCCCUGUAAUCCGUACUCAAUGAUCUCCAGUUCCUGCUGAGCUGUGGGUUGAAGGGGAGUGAGAAUAAACAGAGUGGCCGAUGAUGUCAACGGAGAAGCGGAAAGCAAAACAACGUUGAAUUCUUUUCUGUCCUAAACCACUUGUUAAGAGCUUGAAAGUUUCACCCUCUGAAGCCACAAAGAGGCCAGUAACCCAGGGAAAUGAAUAUGUUAGCUUAGAGCUUAACAUAAAAUGUUGUACUGGCUCCCUGUUCCUAAUCAGUGCUCCAUGAAUUUACGUUGGGCAGCAGAGAGAGGACUGAAAAUUCACUUCAGGAAAUGCCUUUCCUUCCAGGGACAACAUCAUUCUGGAUUAUCAUCAAGUGCUCUUCACGUCUUAUAUUCCACCAA